UGAUACAUAUCCAAACUUCUCCUCGCUAAAGUUGAAGUAGGCAACAUGAUUGAACCUACCAGUCCAAUAAAGUACCCCAUUGAGGAAGCUACAUUUCCUAGAAAAAUUACAUGAAUCAUGUCUUGAUGAAUCAAAAUCAACUUUUCUCCAAGAGGGGUUGGUUACUCCUAGAGUUAGAAUAUCGACCCUCUUUGCUCUUUCUAGUUCUCGAGGAUGAAUAUGAAGCAAUUUGUAGAAACAACUUGAACAACUUAUGAAAUGAUAAUAUUUUCUUUCGCAAACGUUUUAUCUCCCUAGUAGUGACAUUAUAUAAAUAACCUCGACUAUUUUUAUAGCUAUACAAGCAAACAAGGCCAUUGCAAUGACUUGAACAAAUAUGCAUCUCCCCAGCGUAGCAAAAAUAAUCAAGCUGUAAAGGAAGUACUUCGGAUUUAUUUGUUUUUGCAUGACUGUACCGUUGUCCACCAUAUGUUUUGAGUUGAAAUAGAAGUUGGGUGGCUGAGGGGCGGGCUUGAGAACGAGCAUAGUGUGACCGGACA
This 539-nucleotide long non-coding RNA is filed under the name Capsicum annuum. RNAcentral describes it as "long non-coding RNA (CANN_LNC006092)". The record is from RNAcentral. Lineage: Eukaryota; Viridiplantae; Streptophyta; Magnoliopsida; Solanales; Solanaceae.